RNAcentral lists this small RNA (98 nucleotides) under Caloramator australicus RC3. Its description in RNAcentral is "Clostridioides difficile sRNA included into helicase gene". It matches the Rfam family "Clostridioides difficile sRNA included into helicase gene". From Rfam's summary of the family: This element was identified by RNA deep sequencing of Clostridioides difficile 630 where it is located within gene CD0749 (putative DNA helicase, UvrD/REP type) in the same direction as the gene. A strong transcription start site for this RNA was experimentally confirmed, in the 3' region of gene CD0749. The record is from Rfam by way of RNAcentral. Lineage: Bacteria; Bacillati; Bacillota; Clostridia; Eubacteriales; Clostridiaceae.
UCAGCCCUUGAGGACGAUGAUGAAAUGGAGGAAGAAAGAAGACUUUGCUAUGUUGGAAUUACAAGGGCAAAGGAAAUAUUGUAUCUUACAUGUGCAAA